Araneus ventricosus is the source of this 66-nucleotide non-coding RNA. The record is from the annotation of a GenBank genome assembly. NCBI's taxonomy places the organism in Eukaryota, Metazoa, Arthropoda, Arachnida, Araneae, Araneidae.
AAGUUCCACCGAGAUUUGAACUCGGAUGCUGGAUUCAGAGUCAGUGCUAACCAUUAACAUGGAACC